Molecule: ribosomal RNA, 732 nt
Filed under: uncultured Acinetobacter sp.
Lineage: Bacteria; Pseudomonadati; Pseudomonadota; Gammaproteobacteria; Moraxellales; Moraxellaceae
Description: bacterial SSU rRNA
Rfam family: Bacterial small subunit ribosomal RNA
Source: RNAcentral
AGAGUUUGAUCAUGGCUCAGAUUGAACGCUGGCGGCAGGCUUAACACAUGCAAGUCGAGCGGGGAAAGGUAGCUUGCUACCUAACCUAGCGGCGGACGGGUGAGUAAUGCUUAGGAAUCUGCCUAUUAGUGGGGGACAACAUCUCGAAAGGGAUGCUAAUACCGCAUACGUCCUACGGGAGAAAGCAGGGGACCUUCGGGCCUUGCGCUAAUAGAUGAGCCUAAGUCGGAUUAGCUAGUUGGUGGGGUAAAGGCCUACCAAGGCGACGAUCUGUAGCGGGUCUGAGAGGAUGAUCCGCCACACUGGGACUGAGACACGGCCCAGACUCCUACGGGAGGCAGCAGUGGGGAAUAUUGGACAAUGGGGGGAACCCUGAUCCAGCCAUGCCGCGUGUGUGAAGAAGGCCUUUUGGUUGUAAAGCACUUUAAGCGAGGAGGAGGCUACCGAGAUUAAUACUCUUGGAUAGUGGACGUUACUCGCAGAAUAAGCACCGGCUAACUCUGUGCCAGCAGCCGCGGUAAUACAGAGGGUGCAAGCGUUAAUCGGAUUUACUGGGCGUAAAGCGCGCGUAGGUGGCCAAUUAAGUCAAAUGUGAAAUCCCCGAGCUUAACUUGGGAAUUGCAUUCGAUACUGGUUGGCUAGAGUAUGGGAGAGGAUGGUAGAAUUCCAGGUGUAGCGGUGAAAUGCGUAGAGAUCUGGAGGAAUACCGAUGGCGAAGGCAGCCAUCUGGCC